Molecule: long non-coding RNA, 1129 nt
Organism: Anguilla anguilla (European eel)
Lineage: Eukaryota; Metazoa; Chordata; Actinopteri; Anguilliformes; Anguillidae
Exons: 5
Source: RefSeq, a predicted model, not a curated record
GAUUCCGAACCCUGACGAGUCGUGAGGAAACGAGUCUGAGAAAAAGCACGUCGGCGUUGUGAGCGAACAGUAUUUGCUUUUAACUGAUGGAUGAUUUAUGAUUCUGUAUUCGUAUAAUUGCAGACCUGUCCCAGAGGCAGCGGGCGUCCCUGGUGGCAGUGGCGGGAGCGGUCAUCGGGGCCAUCCUCGGCCUCUUCCUCAUCACGGUCUUCACCAUCGUCGCCCUCCUGGCCUGCAGGUCCCAGCCGCCCACGUACUCCGACAAAGUGAUCGAUCUUCCUCCGACGCACAAGCCUCCCCCGCCCUACGCUGAGAGACGACCAGCCGCCCGCCUGCCUGUCAAUCACACGCUGGUGACGCACCAGGUACCCCAGGUCCGCCGGGUGGACAGGCGGGUUGAGGUGUCCAACAGAGCGCCCGUGAGAGGGAUGCCUCACAGGGACCCCCGAAACCCCGCCCAUGAGCCGCUGUCCUAUCACAGCUGGGUCUGCCACCACAAGGGGGCGGACCGCGUCUUCAUCAAUCACCGCGAGCACUAUGUGUGAUCUGCUCCCUCCCCACUGUUACCACGGAGACCACAGCAUCUGAGUACAUCAGUCGCCAAGAACACCGUGUGAGAUCAAUCAACUCCCUGCUGUUACCGUGGAGAUCACAGUAUCUGAGUACACCAGUCACUACAAACACUGUGUGAGAUCAACCCCCUGCCGUUACCAUGGAGAUCACAGUAUCUGAGUACACCAAUCGCUGUGAACACUGCAUGCCUUCCUCUUCCCACCGUUACCCUGGAGACCACGGUAUCUUCAGACUAAUCUCAAGAGCAAAGAGAGGGAUUGGGACAGGUGCUUUUAAGAACUGGUAUAAAGAGUUCAGGACACUUCUACUCUUAACGUGAUCAUGACUGCAUAUAACAGAGCCCCAAUGUCUUAACACCACCCGUGAAUAACAGUUCUGUUAAUUUCGCAGUUAAUUACACAGAUAAAUAAUAGCCGCAAACUAGCUUGCACCAGACUAAUGGAACGACUGUCUGACUCUGCACAGUCACAUCUCAAAACCACCCAAAAAUGAAGAAUUGCGGUGUCACUGAUCUAUAAAGUAAAAAAAAAUGUUUCUUCAUUUAAGCUUAGACUCU